CCAGACUCCUACGGGAGGCAGCAGUGAGGAAUAUUGGUCAAUGGGCGAGAGCCUGAACCAGCCAAGUCGCGUGAGGGAAGACGGUCCUAUGGAUUGUAAACCUCUUUUGCCGGGGAGCAAAAAGCGGUACGUGUACCGCAUCGAGAGUACCCGGAGAAAAAGCAUCGGCUAACUACGUGCCAGCAGCCGCGGUAAUACGUAGGAGGCAAGCGUUAUCCGGAAUGACUGGGCGUAAAGGGUGCGUAGGUGGUUUGACAAGUUAGUAGCGCAACUCCGGAGCUUAACUUCGGAACUACUACUAAAACUGUUGGACUUGAGUGCAGGAGGGGCAAUCGGAAUUCCUAGUGUAGCGGUGGAAUGCGUAGAUAUUAGGAGGAACACCAGUGGCGAAGGCGGAUUGCUAGACUGUAACUGACACUGAGGCACGAAAGCGUGGGGAGCAAACAGGAUUAGAUACCCGAGUA
RNAcentral lists this ribosomal RNA (464 nucleotides) under uncultured bacterium. RNAcentral's name for it is "bacterial SSU rRNA". It matches the Rfam family "Bacterial small subunit ribosomal RNA", at positions 331 to 792 of the family's 1533-position model. The record is from RNAcentral.